RNAcentral lists this ribosomal RNA (618 nucleotides) under Trichoderma erinaceum. RNAcentral's name for it is "eukaryotic LSU rRNA". The stretch from base 228 to 381 matches the Rfam family "5.8S ribosomal RNA". Lineage: Eukaryota; Fungi; Ascomycota; Sordariomycetes; Hypocreales; Hypocreaceae. The record is from RNAcentral.
AAAAAAAAGGGUCUCCGUUUGGUGACAGCGGAGGGAUCAUUACCGAGUUUACAACUCCCAAACCCAAUGUGAACCAUACCAAACUGUUGCCUCGGCGGGGUCACGCCCCGGGUGCGUCGCAGCCCCGGAACCAGGCGCCCGCCGGAGGGACCAACCAAACUCUUUACUGUAGUCCCCUCGCGGACGUUAUUUCUUACAGCUCUGAGCAAAAAUUCAAAAUGAAUCAAAACUUUCAACAACGGAUCUCUUGGUUCUGGCAUCGAUGAAGAACGCAGCGAAAUGCGAUAAGUAAUGUGAAUUGCAGAAUUCAGUGAAUCAUCGAAUCUUUGAACGCACAUUGCGCCCGCCAGUAUUCUGGCGGGCAUGCCUGUCCGAGCGUCAUUUCAACCCUCGAACCCCUCCGGGGGUCCGGCGUUGGGGAUCGGGAACCCCUCAGACGGGAUCCCGGCCCCGAAAUACAGUGGCGGUCUCGCCGCAGCCUCUCCUGCGCAGUAGUUUGCACAACUCGCACCGGGAGCGCGGCGCGUCCACGUCCGUAAAACACCCAACUUUCUGAAAUGUUGACCUCGGAUCAGGUAGGAAUACCCGCUGAACUUAAGCAUAUCAAUAAGCGGAGGA